UAAUACCGGCGCCCUAAGUGGUCGUCACUAUUAUUGGGCCUAAAACGUCCGUAGCCGGUUUGGUAAAUCCGUGGGUAAAUCAGACAGCCUAACUGUCUGAAUUCUGCGGGGACUGCCAGACUUGAGACCGGGAGAGGUGCGGGGUACUUGCGGGGUACCGGGAAAAUGGGAUCAUCCCGUAGAGACCACCUGUUGCGAAGGCGCCGCACUAGAACGGAUCUGACGGUCAGGGACGGAGCCUAGGGGCACGAACCGGAUUAGAUACCCGGGUAGUCCUAGGUGUAAACGCUGUGGACUUGGUGUCGGGGACCUUCUGAGGGUUUCCGGUGCCGGAGUGAAGAUGUUAAGUCCACUGCCUGGGGAGUACGGUCGCAAGGCUG
This 380-nucleotide ribosomal RNA is filed under the name uncultured euryarchaeote. Its description in RNAcentral is "bacterial SSU rRNA". It matches the Rfam family "Archaeal small subunit ribosomal RNA", at positions 471 to 851 of the family's 1478-position model. Lineage: Archaea; Methanobacteriati; Methanobacteriota. The record is from RNAcentral.